UCGACGAAACAGGGGUGCUUUGCUCGCAGGCUGCAUGAUUUCAUGCCGCGGCGGCAAGGCUGAGAGAGACCCUUUGCACCCGAUCCGGGUAAUACCGGCGCGGGAAGUUUCCGGAAGCAGCCA
Molecule: non-coding RNA, 123 nt
Filed under: Paraburkholderia terricola
Lineage: Bacteria; Pseudomonadati; Pseudomonadota; Betaproteobacteria; Burkholderiales; Burkholderiaceae
Description: TPP sequence
Rfam family: TPP riboswitch aptamer (THI element)
About the family: Vitamin B(1) in its active form thiamin pyrophosphate (TPP) is an essential coenzyme that is synthesised by coupling of pyrimidine and thiazole moieties in bacteria. The previously detected thiamin-regulatory element, thi box was extended, resulting in a new, highly conserved RNA secondary structure, the THI element, which is widely distributed in eubacteria and also occurs in some archaea. Analysis of operon structures identified a large number of new candidate thiamin-regulated genes, mostly transporters, in various prokaryotic organisms.
Source: RNAcentral